CUCGUAGGUGGCCAACUAAGUCGGACGUGAAAUCCCUCGGCUUAACCGGGGAACUGCGUCCGAUACUGGUUGGCUUGAGUUUGGGAGAGGGAUGCGGAAUUCCAGGUGUAGCGGUGAAAUGCGUAGAUAUCUGGAGGAACACCGGUGGCGAAGGCGGCAUCCUGGACCAACACUGACGCUGAGGAGCGAAAGCCAGGGGGAGCAAAACGG
This 210-nucleotide ribosomal RNA is filed under the name uncultured bacterium. RNAcentral describes it as "partial 16S ribosomal RNA". It matches the Rfam family "Bacterial small subunit ribosomal RNA", at positions 568 to 776 of the family's 1533-position model. The record is from RNAcentral.